GGGCCUGUGGGGUAGCUUGGCAUCCUUCUACCUUGGGGUGGUAGUAACCUGAGUUCAAAUCUCAGCAGGCCCA
Molecule: transfer RNA, 73 nt
Filed under: Thermoplasmatales archaeon SCGC AB-539-N05
Lineage: Archaea; Methanobacteriati; Thermoplasmatota; Thermoplasmata; Thermoplasmatales
Description: tRNA-Pro
Rfam family: tRNA
About the family: Transfer RNA (tRNA) molecules are approximately 80 nucleotides in length. Their secondary structure includes four short double-helical elements and three loops (D, anti-codon, and T loops).
Source: RNAcentral